UUGGAUGAGAGGAAAGUGCCGUGUGACAGGUGUCCAGGACAGAGUUCCGCGCACUGAAGACAGAGAGCAGAUCAAUGCAUUUACCGGCGUGCUCACUAAAUACACCGACACUGGCAUAUAAAGCCAAGGGCCUCAGGUCUGUGUAUUAGCAGUAUUUUUAUAACGCUGCUGAUGCGCCGAAUGACGGAAAGAAGACAAGUCAUCUUCAGAAACCUAAUGAAUAAAUGGACGUCCAGGAUGGAUGUUUUGUGUGUUUUCUGUACUUGUCUCACGUUGAGCCACACGCACAAUACCUGCAGAUGAAAAGGUUUUGUUCGUUCGGCUCGCGUUACGCAGAUGCAGACACGCGUCAGUAAAACACCAGAGCAGCGGGACACAUCGACUGACAUUUUACUGCUGUCACACUCUUCACCGAGCCUUAACCAUUCUUAAACAAGUAAUAAUAAAGUAAUUAAACGUUAAUAACAUGCUGAUUAAAAUAACGAAUGCUUACUUAUGAAAUAUGUAGAUACAAAUGUCUCAUUUGUCUCAUGUCUUAUUUUCAAAAGGAAUUCAGUGUUAAAGAAAAUAUGUAAAGAGGUUUUAGCAGUACCACUUGUAAUAUAAGGUCAACAGUUUGUGAAUUAAACCUUUAUUUUGUCAUCUUAUAUAACCACGAAAUUGUAUGUGUGUUUUAAAAACAAUAUAAAUUUAAUAAUCAGUAUACUGCCAAUAAAAUAUUGCCAUUAAACUGAAAUACAUUAUUUUCUAGUCAGAUAAUUGAGAAAGGCCCUAUUGUUUAAUGUGUAAAUAAGUGUGUAAACAUCCUUACUAAAUAUC
Molecule: long non-coding RNA, 819 nt
Organism: Labeo rohita (rohu)
Lineage: Eukaryota; Metazoa; Chordata; Actinopteri; Cypriniformes; Cyprinidae
Exons: 2
Source: RefSeq, a predicted model, not a curated record